This 257-nucleotide ribosomal RNA is filed under the name uncultured bacterium. RNAcentral's name for it is "partial 16S ribosomal RNA". It matches the Rfam family "Bacterial small subunit ribosomal RNA", at positions 98 to 353 of the family's 1533-position model. The record is from RNAcentral.
CGGAACGGGUGAGUAACGCGUAAUCAACCUGCCCUUCAGAGGGGGACAACAGUUGGAAACGACUGCUAAUACCGCAUAAGCGCACAGCUUCGCAUGAAGCAGUGUGAAAAACUCCGGUGGUACAAGAUGGACCCGCGUCUGAUUAGCUGGUUGGUGAGGUAACGGCUCACCAAGGCGACGAUCAGUAGCCGGCUUGAGAGAGUGAACGGCCACAUUGGGACUGAGACACGGCCCAAACUCCUACGGGAGGCAGUAUG